GGUACAUAAAAGUGAAAACACAUUCCUUCCUACAAGAGGUCUGAACUUUGAGAAACCAACAUUUUCCAAAGAGAAAACGUCACAAUUAGUCUCAGAAAACCAGAGUGUGGGUAUUCUAUAGGCUGUCUUCUCUUACACCAAAUAACGGGGUACUUAGAAAACAAAGUGUAGUUGCAGCAAUGGAUGAACAUAGGGAGGUCUUUCUAUUACUGGCAUUGCAUGGACCACCCCGUGCAGCGAUUCACAAAUCACUGUCAGGAUGUAGCCCUUGGGACACUGCCCUGAAAAACAGUGCCUCAAACCCUCACACAUCAGCAGCGAUCGCCAAACGAAGCCAGACAAUAAGCAGCAAUACCAUUAACCACAAAAAGCUGAUUUCCUAAUGAGAAAUAAGCCUCAGAGCUCUGCAGGGGAAAACACGCUGGUGGUGAGUAACGAGGCGUUGCGGGCUGGAAGGCAUUGUAACCGCUCCAUCUGCUGGCGCUGGUUAACACUGCACGCAGCUGUCAUGGAAGUUUCUAGCUCAUACACAAACAGUAUCCCAUUGGCUAUCAUUCGUUUCCUGGUACCACAGUAUAUUGAAGUGCACAGGACUUGCAAAGAAAGUCAUCCAUGCAGAGUGCAAGACCUUGUUUUUCCUCAGGAGUUUCCCAGAGAUCUACAUUUCAUUUACCUUUGCAUGGAAAUGGCAGACUGGAGAAAGCAGCAGAGAGAGGAAGAGACUCCCAAAGACAGAAGGGAAAACAAAACUGGGCUUGAGCAGAGGAAGCAGGUGCCCAAGUCACCAGAGCUGCAAAAAGCAAAGAAUUCCAAGCUUACUUAUAAACUAAUGAACGGGAAGAUUCUACUGCCAAUGGACACUACUGAUUCAUAAAGGCUUUAUAGCAACACUUUGCUAGGAGCUCCUCAACUGAGCAACGAGGCUGAGUGUACUGUGAGCUUUUGAAGCCAGAGAGCUAAGAAGCACCAAUGGGGUCACGCUUCAGCCACAACUUAAAACUCAGCUUUUUUUUUUUUCUUUUUACCAAGCAAGUCUUCUUCUGCCUAACAAGAUACUUAUCUGUGUACAUUUAUUAGAUUUCAUUAAAGCCAGUGAAGAACAAGACACGUUGCAGAACAUUCUUUGAUCUCUAACAUCACUGCAAGCAAAAUAGAUGCUCAAAUUCCUGGGUCAAACUGUUCCUGGAAUCAAACUGUUUUUCUGCACAACAUACUGAUUUCCCUUCAUUUUAUAAGUGCUCCUUCAGAACAUUAGUAGAUUUUGACACGCUGUUGCCUACAAAACUGCAUAUAGGCAUCUCUCAUUAAUAUCCCACAGAUCCAUUAUGCAGUAAUAAGUAUGACCUGGUCAGGAUUUGACAUCAAGAGUCAUUUCUGGAAACUACUCUCCCUUUGUUUAGACCUCUGUGUUAUUUUCCUUUCAGAGAACUUAUAUGAGCAGUGGGGUCUUAGGAGAUGCUUGUCAUGCUGUUAAGAUAGAAGUUUAUAGCACUCACACAUAAGCAGCUUUAAUGCUGUAUAAAUCUCCUCUUUUCCUACUCUGUCAUUUCGUUUAAUGUUUUGUUUGUAAGUAAACACAAAAUGAACAUUUAGG
This 1594-nucleotide long non-coding RNA is filed under the name Phasianus colchicus (ring-necked pheasant). RNAcentral's name for it is "lncRNA (ENSPCLG00000004449.1)". The record is from RNAcentral. Lineage: Eukaryota; Metazoa; Chordata; Aves; Galliformes; Phasianidae.